CAUGAGUAGAUUUAUGAACGAUCAUAUUGAGGAAAAUGGUGUGAACGUAAUACCUAGAGCAUUUAAUUACUUAUGAUGGAAUCUGCUUUUUUCUCAAAAUCUCCAUCUCCAACGGAUUGUUUAAGUUACUUUUUCACCGAAAUCUUCAAUCUGACACAGUUACAUAUUUAAGCCUCAUUGCUUAGCAAGGUUUGACAAACUAAACAAGGAAUACCAAAACCACUAAACAAAUUGUUUCUUAAGUUUUUUAUUACAAUUAAAGAUUCACUUGAUCAUAUUCAAUCAGUUAUUUCACUUUGUUUACCAUUAUUUAUUAUCUUUUAGGUGUGAUUGUGGUUUGGACAUAGUAAAAUACAUAGAAUGCUUGAGUAUUGACGGUCUAGUAGAACAAGUUAAUGGCUUCUAUGUAAAUAGAUUGGGGGAGAAAAUGACUACUGAUACUUUUGCACGUUCUUGUUAUUUCAUCAAUAUCAAUUUGUGUUACUUGGUUUUCCAUAACUUUCUAUUUUGUAUCCAUUGAUUGAAAUAUUUGUUUUCUAAUCUGGCUUUUUCUAUUAAGUUUCUUUUUCUAUUACACCGUCAACUUAUUUUCUAAUCUGGCUUUUUCUCUAUAAAUCUUGUAGAAAGUUCUAUAAAUAUAAAGGCUUUAAUAAAGUGGAAGAGGUUUGAAAUGACAAAGAAGACAAUUUGAAGCUGUGGGACAAGGUGAAAACUCUAGAACCUUUGCAGCCAUAUGCAAAACCAAGAAGCUCAUUUCCUGGUUUUUAUUGUCGAGAAAGAUCUUGAUUCACAAAGGUAUGGAAAGAUCGUGAUUCAUAAAGGUGUGCAAAAACCAUCGUAGAUCAAGAUUCAUGAGGAGCAAUGAUCGUGAUUCUUUGCCUUCAAAAUUCUCUAUAAAGUUUGAAGAAUUUGCUAAAGGUUACACAGAAAAAGUUGGACGAUUUUGCCCCUGGUGCUACGCCGACUGCAAUUGAACAGCAAGCUCGUUUUUCUCCACUCUACGAACUCAGAUAGGUCCGCUCUGGCUGUGUUCGACUUGAAAAGUGCAAACCAAGAGAUUAAGAGCGACUUGAAAGAUCUCUCAAUGUCAACUCUGCCACAUUAUUGUGCAGAUGAAGGCUGGAGAUGCUGCCAAGGCUGACAAGAAGAAAUAAGUUUAUUUAAUUGGUUCUCUCUGGUUUUUGGUUUUACCUUUUCUUUUAUUAAAUACAUGUAAAUUUUAUUAGUAAUUGUUAUUUAUGCAAUUACAAUUAUCAUUUUGUAGAUACUAUUGAAUGUUUCUUGUUAAUUUCUUUAUUUUUUUUAUUUU
Long non-coding RNA from Olea europaea var. sylvestris, 1309 nucleotides. RefSeq lists it as uncharacterized. The transcript is spliced from 4 exons. Lineage: Eukaryota; Viridiplantae; Streptophyta; Magnoliopsida; Lamiales; Oleaceae. The record is from RefSeq and is a predicted model, not a curated record.